This 247-nucleotide ribosomal RNA is filed under the name uncultured Gardnerella sp. RNAcentral's name for it is "partial 16S ribosomal RNA". It matches the Rfam family "Bacterial small subunit ribosomal RNA", at positions 107 to 355 of the family's 1533-position model. The record is from RNAcentral. Lineage: Bacteria; Bacillati; Actinomycetota; Actinomycetes; Bifidobacteriales; Bifidobacteriaceae.
UAGAGUAAUGCGUGACAACCUGCCCACUGCUCCAGAAUAGCUCUUGGAAACGGGUGGUAAUGCUGGAUGCUCCAACUUGACGCAUGUCUUGUUGGGAAAGUGUUAGUGGCAUGGGAUGGGGUCGCGUCCUAUCAGCUUGUAGGCGGGGUAAUGGCCCACCUAGGCUUCGACGGGUAGCCGGCCUGAGAGGGCGGACGGCCACAUUGGGACUGAGAUACGGCCCAGACUCCUACGGGAGGCAGCAGCC